UUUCCGGUUGAUCCCGCCGGACCUGACUGCUAUCGGAUUGAUACUAAGCCAUGCGAGUCUUUGUAGUAAUACAAGGCAGACGGCUCAGUAACACGUAGUCAACCUACCCUAUGGACAAGAAUAAUCUCGGGAAACUGGGCAUAAUUCUUGAUAGAUCAUAAUGCCUGGAAUGGUUUAUGGUUAAAAUGAUUCGUCGCCAUAGGAUGGGACUGCGGCCUAUCAGCUUGUUGGUGAGGUAAUGGCCCACCAAGGCGAUUACAGGUACGGGCUCUGAGAGGAGAAGCCCGGAGAUGGGUACUGAGACACGGACCCAGGCCCUAUGGGGCGCAGCAGGCGAGAAAACUUUGCAAUGUGCGAAAGCACGACAAGGUUAAUCCGAGUGAUUUCUGCUAAAGAAAUCUUUUGCCAGUCAUAAAACCACUGGUGAAUAAGGGGUGGGCAAGUUCUGGUGUCAGCCGCCGCGGUAAAACCAGCACCUCAAGUGGUCAGGAUGAUUAUUGGGCCUAAAGCAUCCGUAGCCGGCUUUGUAAGUUUUCGGUUAAAUCCAUGUGCUCAACGCAUGGGCUGCCGAAAAUACUGCAUGGCUAGGGAGUGGGAGAGGUAGACGGUACUCAGUAGGAAGGGGUAAAAUCCUUUGAUCUAUUGAUGACCACCUGUGGCGAAGGCGGUCUACCAGAACACGUUCGACGGUGAGGGAUGAAAGCUGGGGGAGCAAACCGGAUUAGAUACCCGGGUAGUCCCAGCUGUAAACGAUGCAGACUCGAUGAUGCAUUGGCAUAAUAGCCAGUGCAGUGUCGCAGGGAAGCCGUUAAGUCUGCCGCCUGGGAAGUACGUACGCAAGUAUGAAACUUAAAGGAAUUGGCGGGGGAGCACCACAAGGGGUGAAGCCUGCGGUUCAAUUGGAGUCAACGCCGGG
RNAcentral lists this ribosomal RNA (916 nucleotides) under uncultured archaeon. Its description in RNAcentral is "SSU rRNA". It matches the Rfam family "Archaeal small subunit ribosomal RNA", at positions 1 to 922 of the family's 1478-position model. The record is from RNAcentral.